RNAcentral lists this long non-coding RNA (344 nucleotides) under Jatropha curcas. RNAcentral's name for it is "long non-coding RNA (JCUR_LNC001706)". The record is from RNAcentral. Lineage: Eukaryota; Viridiplantae; Streptophyta; Magnoliopsida; Malpighiales; Euphorbiaceae.
AAAAAUUUAAUGGAUCAUGUGUGAGCCUAAGCUUGUGCGGUCAUAAUUAAUUAGCUAACAUGCAUGUUGAGAGCUUAUGGAAUGUAUUUAUAUAUUUGACUAAAUAAUGUUGAUUUUUAGAUAUUUGAUAUUGAUGCAUUAUAUUUUAUAUUUAGAUGUGGAAAUUUGGAAGAAAUUUUGAUUGGAUUAUGAACCAGAGUUUAGAGUUCAUUGGAUUGUUGACAUAUGAGUCUUGAAAUUUUUAUUAUUCAAAGGUGAAAUUGAAUCCAAAGGAAACGCUAUCGAAAUUUAUUAUCAGUUUUAAGAAGAAUUUUCUAUUGGUCAUUAGAGUAAUUAAGCAAGCA